Molecule: ribosomal RNA, 508 nt
Filed under: Tylenchus naranensis
Lineage: Eukaryota; Metazoa; Nematoda; Chromadorea; Rhabditida; Tylenchidae
Description: SSU rRNA
Rfam family: Eukaryotic small subunit ribosomal RNA
Source: RNAcentral
CGCGAAUGGCUCAUUACAACAGCUAUAAUUUACUUGAUCUUGACAAUCCUACUUGGAUAACUGUGGUAAUUCUAGAGCUAAUACAUGCACCAAAGCUCUGACCUUGCAGAAGGAAAGAGUGCAUUUAUUAUUUGAAAACCAAGCGGCUUCGGUCGUUUUUGUUGACUCAGAAUAACUAAGCUGAUCGCAUGGUCUUGUACCGGCGACGUGUCUUUCAAGUAUCUGCCUUAUCAACUUUCGAUGGUAGUGUAUUUGACUACCAUGGUGGUGACGGGUAACGGAGGAUAAGGGUUCGACUCCGGAGAAGGGGCCUGAGAAAUGGCCACUACGUCUAAGGAUGGCAGCAGGCGCGCAAAUUACCCACUCUCAGAACAUUGAGGAGGUAGUGACGAAAAAUAACGAGACCGUUCUCUACGAGGCCGGUCAUCGGAAUGGGUACAAUCUAAACCCUUUAACGAGUAUCUAUGAGAGGGCAAGUCUGGUGCCAGCAGCCGCGGUAAUUCCAGCU